ACCCCACUAUUAACCCACAAGUAAAACUCUAAGUACUACAGUUUUUAAACUAAAACUUAAAUAACAUGGCGGCGAGCUUAAAUUUCAGAGGAACUUACCAGAUAAAUGAUAACCCGCAAUUUAUUCUUACUUUACCUAAAAGUUUAUAUAUCGUCGUCUAGUAGUCUUCCUAGAAGGUUACAAAAUGUAUUAAUACAAAAAGACAGAUCAUGACAUAGCCUAUGGUAAAGACAUAAGGUGAGUUACAAUAAGAAUUUCUUUCAGAUGGUUGCCUAAAGAUAGCCUUAAGAUGGAUUUGAAAGUAAUAGUUAACAUAAAUAUACUUUGAAUACUUCUAAGCUCGUGUACACACCG
Molecule: ribosomal RNA, 354 nt
Filed under: Haminoea maugeansis
Lineage: Eukaryota; Metazoa; Mollusca; Gastropoda; Cephalaspidea; Haminoeidae
Description: partial small subunit ribosomal RNA
Source: RNAcentral